This 492-nucleotide ribosomal RNA is filed under the name uncultured bacterium. RNAcentral describes it as "partial 16S ribosomal RNA". It matches the Rfam family "Bacterial small subunit ribosomal RNA", at positions 29 to 507 of the family's 1533-position model. The record is from RNAcentral.
AGUGAACGCUGGCGGUAGGCCUAACACAUGCAAGUCGAACGGCAGCACAGUAAGAGCUUGCUCUUACGGGUGGCGAGUGGCGGACGGGUGAGGAAUACAUCGGAAUCUACUUUUUCGUGGGGGAUCACGUAGGGAAACUUACGCUAAUACCGCAUACGACCUUCGGUUGAAAGCAGGGGAUCUUCGGACCUUGCGCGAUUGAAUGAGCCGAUGUCGGAUUAGAUAGUUGGCGGGGUAAAGGCCCACCAAGGCGACGAUCCGUAGCUGGUCUGAGAGGAUGAUCAGCCACACUGGAACUGAGACACGGUCCAGACUCCUACGGGAGGCAGCAGUGGGGAAUAUUGGACAAUGGGCGCAAGCCUGAUCCAGCCAUACCGCGUGGGUGAAGAAGGCCUUCGGGUUGUAAAGCCCUUUUGUUGGGAAAGAAAAGCAGCAGGUUAAUACCCCGCUGUUCUGACGGUACCCAAAGAAUAAGCACCGGCUAACUUCGUG